This 422-nucleotide ribosomal RNA is filed under the name uncultured eukaryote. RNAcentral's name for it is "SSU rRNA". It matches the Rfam family "Eukaryotic small subunit ribosomal RNA", at positions 467 to 887 of the family's 1831-position model. The record is from RNAcentral.
GUGAACUAAUAAAUAACAAUGUGGUCUUUUAAGUCUGACAAUUGGGAAUGAGAACAAAUUUUAAAAUCCCCUUUAUCGAGGAUCAAUUGGAGGGCAAGUCUGGUGCCAGCAGCCGCGGUAAUUCCAGCUCCAAUAGCGUAUACUAAAGUUGUUGCAGUUAAAAAGCUCGUAGUUGAAUUUCUGGUCUCGAGACGCGGUCAGCCCCAAGGGGUUUGUACUUGCGGAUUGGGACCAUCCUCGAGAAGAACAUAUCUGUCAUUGAGUUGAUGGGUAUGGGAAUCUCGUCAUUUACUGUGAGACAAAAUAGAGUGUUCAAAGCAGGCUUACGCCGUUGAAUACAUUAGCAUGGAAUAAUAAGAUAGGACCUUGGUCUAUUUUGUUGGUUAGUUCUCCAAGGUAAUGAUUAAUAGGGACAGUUGGGG